This 462-nucleotide ribosomal RNA is filed under the name uncultured bacterium. RNAcentral's name for it is "partial 16S ribosomal RNA". It matches the Rfam family "Bacterial small subunit ribosomal RNA", at positions 28 to 507 of the family's 1533-position model. The record is from RNAcentral.
GAUGAACGCUGACAGAAUGCUUAACACAUGCAAGUCUUUGGCGAAGCUGUGCUUGCACAGCCUAGCCAAGGCGGACGGGUGAGUAACGCGUAAGGAACUUGCCCUGCAGUCAGGGAUAACAGACGGAAACGACUGAUAAGACCUGGUAAAGUCAGGCGGACUCAUGUCCAGCCUGAUGAAAAGAGAUGCUGCAGGAGAGCCUUGCGUCCUAUUAGCUUGUUGGUGGGGUAACGGCCCACCAAGGCGAUGAUAGGUAGCCGGCCUGAGAGGGUGGACGGCCACAAGGGGACUGAGAUACAGCCCUUACUCCUACGGGAGGCAGCAGUGGGGAAUAUUGGACAAUGGGGGCAACCCUGAUCCAGCAAUUCUGUGUGCACGAUGAAGGUUUUCGGAUUGUAAAGUGCUUUCAGCAGGGAAGAAAAAAUGACGGUACCUGCAGAAGAAGCGACGGCUAAAUACGUG